UACGGGAGGCAGCAGUGGGGAAUAUUGCACAAUGGGCGCAAGCCUGAUGCAGCCAUGCCGCGUGUAUGAAGAAGGCCUUCGGGUUGUAAAGUACUUUCAGUCGUGAGGAAGGUGUUAAGGUUAAUAACCUUAGCAAUUGACGUUAGCGACAGAAGAAGCACCGGCUAACUCCGUGCCAGCAGCCGCGGUAAUACGGAGGGUGCGAGCGUUAAUCGGAAUUACUGGGCGUAAAGGGCACGCAGGCGGUUAAUUAAGUUGGAUGUGAAAUCCCCGGGCUUAACCUGGGAAUGGCAUUCAAGACUGGUUAGCUAGAGUCUUGUAGAGGGGGUUAGAAUUCCAUGUGUAGCGGUGAAAUGCGUAGAGAUGUGGAGGAAUACCGGUGGCGAAGGCGGCCCCUGGGACAAGACUGACGCUCAUGUGCGAAAGCGUGGGGAGCAAACAGGAUUAGAUACC
Molecule: ribosomal RNA, 453 nt
Filed under: uncultured bacterium
Lineage: Bacteria
Description: bacterial SSU rRNA
Rfam family: Bacterial small subunit ribosomal RNA
Source: RNAcentral